Molecule: long non-coding RNA, 8446 nt
Filed under: Aquilegia coerulea
Lineage: Eukaryota; Viridiplantae; Streptophyta; Magnoliopsida; Ranunculales; Ranunculaceae
Description: long non-coding RNA (ACOE_LNC001796)
Source: RNAcentral
GAAAACAAAAGUGAAAAAGAACAAAUAGUAAAUAUAGUAGCAGGCCAGGAAAAUCAUUCAUUUGUAUGACAGUCAACGGAAUGCUGCGAGCACGUCCACCGAAGUAAGUGGUGUUUCUUUUAAUCCUGAUAUAUUAAGCACCUCAAAUUGUGAUUGACGACUGGUGUUCGCAAUAUUCUUUAGCUUUCGGAAGAGUAUGAAUAUGAUUUUUUUGCAUAUUAUUAUUGAUAAGGAUAUAUUUAGGAUGAUGACAUUUUCUUUAGUUAUAUCAUCCUAAACAGCUGUACUAACGCGGCACACACAUACGCAGGCACACACAAGGGGAACAUCUUGGAGUUUUUGUGUUUUCUUAUCCUCACAAGUAACGACAACCCUUUGCAGGUACCGUCUUCUUGAAAUCAUACCAUGUCACUAUUUUCUGGGGAUAUGUAUGAGAAAAGACAAGAUAGCUCUCAAUGAAUGAAGUUGUAAUCAACAUUGUCGAGUUGAAGAUUUCUUAAAACCUUGGGCUGGAAUCUACCUGUUACCGAAGACAAAAAAUCAAGUUUUGCGGAGCAGCUGAAUGGAGUUAUAGUGUUGUUCAGGACAAAAUCCAAGAACUACAUGCAUGGAGAGACUUGUAACCAAUGUUAGUAUCACUCACAGUCCCUUUAUUUUUCAGCUUGUGUCCAUUAUUUAAUGUUAUGUUUAAAAAUAAGGUAUAUCUUAUCUUCCAAGAAUUUGAAACACGGAGUGGAAAAGCAGAGGGGGAGAGAGAGAGGAGGUUAUCCAAAUCGGUCUUCAACUCAACUUUAGCUUAAGAUUAUGACCAUAUGAAUAUGACAUAAACAUCAUUCCAUCUAGUUGUUUGUCAAAUCAAAUACCCCAAUUAAGUCAUUAUAAUGUUUUUACUUCUUAGAAAUUCAUUUUGCACCAAACUACUACCAUCACUUUCUUUGAGCACCCUAUGUGUACUAGCGAUGGCAACAUUUUUGAUAUAUUAUGAUUAUCUUUCUAUUUAAAUUUUAUUAUGGGUUCGUAGCAUUUCACCGACAUAUUAUUUUGAAUUUGAUUGGAAUUUGAUUUGGGAGGUCCACACUACCCCAGAAUGUAAAUUUCUCAACAUUUUCAUGAUAGUAAUUUCCAUCUUUGAUUUUUGUAGGAAUGUAAUACUCGUAAGAGAAAGCAAGUUGAAAAACCAGAUGCUCCAAGGUUAUCCACUUCCAGGUUUAAAGUUCCCAAAUUGAAGAGUGCCUCUCCACGUACCACAUACUAAAAUGAAAAAAUGAAAAGAAAUGAAAAAAGAAAAAAAGUAAAAAAGAAAAGAGAGGAAAAAAAAGGAAAAAAAAAAGAAAAAGAAAAGAAAAAAUGGAAUAAGAGAAGAAAAAAACAAACUAUGCUACUUAAAGAAAAGAAAAAAUGGAAUAAGAGAAGAAAAAAACAAACUAUGUAAUUGUAGUAGCAGGCCAGGAGUAUUGAUCAUGUGUAUGACAACUAUUGGAACGCUGCAAGCACGUCCACCAAAGUAAGUAGUGUUGCUUUAAUUCCUAAUCUUUCAUGUGUAUUAUAGGCAAUGAACCAUUUACUAGGGAUGAUUUGAUAACAAUUCAAGUAUGCAAUAGUGUCCAUUCAUUGUGUUCUGUUUGCUGAAAGUUGAUACUAAAAAUUUCAAUGACCUUUUUGUCUUGAGAUGUGUAUUUUACGAGAUAUCUACAAUAUGUAAUCCAUCGAAUGGAAGGGCAACUGAAAAAUAUCCUGUCUUUGUGUCCAUUAGACGUUACCCUAUGCCAUUGUUUUGAAAUGCCCACCAACCCAUUUUGAUGGAGAGCUUGAAGUGUCAACAUUGCUCAUGGUAUAACUGUGAAAUUCAAGUAUCCAUGCACUGCCAUGGAAUGUUAACCCAUGAUCAGAAAAUGAGACUGAUCGAAAUGUAUAACUUUCAGGAUUUUAAUUUCAAAAUUUCAUGGAAAGGAAUAAAUUUAUCAGAUUGGUACUCUACUUGUAGAAAUUUUAAAUAUGAUGCAAACUAUCAAAAAUUUGAUUUUUGUGAGAUUGCUUUUGUGUUUGCAUGAUUUGUGAGAAAAGUAAUUUUAUGAUUUAUUUGAUUUAGCAGUAGACAUUGAAGUCGUGUAUGAAUAUCACGUCGAAAAUUGAAUGCACAUUAUAUAAUCGAGUGUGAUCAUUUCGAUAUUUGUCAAACUUGUCAGGUAAAAAGCACAAAUACUUCAGAUGCUGCCUCAUGGUCCUUCACUUCUACUUCUUAUGAUCGUGUCACUAAGUAUAAAUAUGAAUAUGUCAAAGGUGAAGAAACCCUUAGAAGAAAGGGUAUGUUUGGUUACACAAUACAUGGUGACUUGAACGUAGAACUGCAUUGUGACUUAGCUUCCAGGGAAUGUGAAAAUUUAUCACAUUAUGUGAGUGUGGCUACUGCAAUGGUUAUCUUUCCAUCAAAGUAUUAGGUAUGCAUCUUUGCCAUCUUUUUCAUUGUGUUCCUUGCUUUUGUUAAUGAUUUCUAAUCCCAAAAUCACCGGUGCUUUUUGGCCCUAUUAUUUAGUAAUUAUAUGGGUGGUGAUCCCACUGUUUUUUGGCCUUUUAAAGAUGAACUACACUCAAAAGUAGUUCAGUCGGGGAGGGGUGUUUUUAGUAUUGCAAACAGUAGUCCUCACACAAAUGUUUCCCAAUUCUUCAUCCUAUAAAUGUCUGCGAAUCAUCUGAACUUCAAUCAUACUGUUUUUGGUGGAGUUGUAGGGUUCUUGACUACCCUAGAAGUAAUGAUAGAGGGGAAAAUCCAAACAGUAGAUACUAAUUAAAUCAUAUCCGUUUCGUCAUUUAUUGCAUUUCAGCUCUCAACUUCCCGCUGUAUAACUAAAGCAUGCCAUUAUUUUUCUUGAAAUUUUUUAUUGAAUACAGAUUAUAAAUUUCAAGCUUUGAAUCUACCUCACAACAAAUCAAGAUUGGCACUAACCAGCAAUGCUGUACCAAGAUGUGUUCUUCUACUAGUAAAGAAGAUCAAAAGGUUUGUAUUGAACCCCACUAUCCGGAGAUGCUAAUAAAAUAAGUAGCCUAUUUAUUAAAUUAUUUUAGUCAUUUCAUAAGGGGAUAGUAUUAUCUGACUUUGUUGUUUUGUUAGUGAUAUUUUUUUCCGUGAAAAGAGUAUUUCCAAAUUCGAAUGACUAAUGUAUUUGUGUCCUGAUUGGUAAUAUGUUAUUGCAGUGGUAAAAAUGCUUGGCAAACAAAUGUGGCUUAUGACGCAUGCAUUAGCUUGGUUCUGCAUGCAGGGGGCAAGAGGCUGCACAAAAAUCUCUGAAUUUUGUACGAUGAGUGCUUGGUUGUUUGGAGUGCCUUUAGGUAUGUUACCAACCUUAGAAAUUAGAAUAUUGUUAUUUAAAAUGACUAGGAAAGUAUACCUCUUGUUACAAACCCUAACAUUUCAUCUUAUAUAUAUAUAUAUCAUCACUAGGCACACAGUUCGAUUUGGAAUUUUUCAAAAACUUAAUGCGAUUUUCUUCUUCUUCGACAUUGAGAUUAUCUUUAAGUUCCAAAGUAUGACGUUUUAUUUAUUUAUUUGGUGCAGCUAUUAUUAGGUGGUGGUGGUGGUACUGGUCCAAAUCCAAUACACAAUUCAUCCAUUUGCAUAAUCUCUAUUGUUAUGAGUUUCUCUUCUCCAAGAUUACCUUUUCAAAUUCGUAAAACCCAUAACUUCCCAGGUACUACUACUAGGAAGCUCAGAGGGCUUUGCUAAUUUUUUGUAUUAUUUUAGGAUUUAACCGCUAUAUCUGUAACUUCAAAUUUUCUACUCUUUCCAAAGUUAUGCAUUCUACUGUAUAUUGCUUGAAUGCUUAAUUUUUCAUUUAUCUUCUUAUGUCCCUGUUCCUUUCACCUUGAAAUUGUUUUUACCAUGCAUUCAUGCUUUAAAACUCUAGCACAUAUAUGCUCUAAGCCUCUAACACUGUCCUACAUUUAUCGCUUUUACCAUGCAGGGAAUAUCACAAAACCCUAUGCCGCCACAUGUGAUAUAUUUCCAGGUACAGAAAAUUUUGUUUCCGUUAUAUCCUAUGUAAAUCUCCCCCCCCCCCCCCCCCCCCCCAAAAAAAACACACACACACAUGCAGCUUCUCCAUAGGGAUCAAGCAAUUGUCCAGACUUGAGUUAUGAUUUUCUAUAUUUUCCCAUUAAUAUUUUCAUUUUUUUUUCUUGUAGAUUUGGAAGACAGAGGCACAACCACUACUAUGUAAUUUGUCUCAGUUUCUUUUAUUACUAUGGAAGGUGGAGUGAUAAAGGUAAUGACAAACAUCUUUUUUGUCUCCCAAUAGUUCCCUAUUUAUACCACUUAAAGAACAUUAAGAAAAUAAUAUAUGUUUGGAGUUUCUUAUCCACAAUGUUGCCUCACUAGACCUUAUGAGUAGUCUUGGUAGAAGCAUCUAUGAUCAUAUAAUCCUCUAAUUUUGAGCAGAUUUCUCACUCCUGAUCAUGACAAACAGAUGAAGAUAAAUGUAUCUGGAGCUAAAUCAGAAGCUAUUUUGGAAGGAAAAGUUGCCACUAUUAUGUGUUCUUACAAGUUACAAUCUAGUUAAUUGAAUUCCUACCUGUGCUGACCCUAAUCUUCUACGUAAUACAUCAGAGGGUACUGGAGGCUUAAUGGGUGAGUUUCAUAUUCCGAUUAUGUUGACCAAAGUCAACAAUCAACACCAAUAAAAAUUUGAUUACAUCCAUGGGACUAAAUAAAAUAUGACAUAUUUUUCAUAUGUGUGGAACAGGUACAUUGUUUCCGAUUGCAAUUCAGUAGUUGUUUUCUACGAUAACAACCACUGCACCGCUAUUGAAGGAAGCAGCUGCAGAUGCCAUUAAAGUCGGUUAGUAAAUGCCUAUAUAGAUUAGUGUCGUCAUUUUUGUGUGUUUGGCUAAGUAGAACUUUUAUUUUAUUGAUAUAGUAACAUGAACCUCAAUUUGAUUGUUGUUAUUGUAUUUCUAUUAUUUCAGGUUAGAUUUGGACUGUGGCCUAUUUCUUGCAGUGCACACUGAGCUGGCCAUAGAAAGAAGGUUAUUGAGGAGGUGGAUGUAAACAAUGCACUUGUUAAUACAAUGACAGUCCAAAUGAGGCUGGGUAGGUUUGAUGAUGAGCCAUCUAAGCAGCCAUACGGACGCUUAGGUCCACCAGAUGUGUGUUUCUCGACUAACAACCAACUAGCUCUUGAGGCUGCUCUACAAUGGAUAAUCUUGUUGUGUGAUUCCUUGAGUUUAUCAAUAAAGUUUCUGUUAAGAAGAAAAAAAAAGGAAAAUAAAAAAAUAGAAAAAAAAAAAAAACAAAGGAGAAAAAAGAAAAAAUAAAAGGAAAAAAGAAAAUGAUAGAAAAAGGAAAACAAAAGUGAAAAAGAAAAAAUAGUAAUUAUAGUAGCAGGCCAGGAAAAUCAUUCAUUUGUAUGACAGUCAACGGAAUGCUGCGAGCACGUCCACCGAAGUAAGUGGUGUUUCUUUUACUCCUGAUAUAUUAAGCACCCCAAAUUGUUGAUUGACAACUGGUGUUCGCAAUAUGCUUUAGCUUUGGAAAGAGUAAGAAUAUGAUUUUUUUGCAUAUUAUUAUUGAUAAGGAUAUAUUUAGGAUGAUGGCAUUUUCCUUGGUUAUCAUCCUAAACAGCUGUACUAACGUGGCACACACAUACACAUGCACACACAAGGGGAACAUCUUGGAGUUUUUGUGUUUUCUUAUCUUCACAAGUAACGACAACCUUUGCAGGUACUGUCUUCUGGAAAUCAUACCAUGUCACUAUUUUCUGGGGAUAUGUAUGAGAAAAGACAAGAUAGCUCUCAAUGAGUAUGAAGUUGUAAUCAACAUUGUCGAGCUGAAGAUUUCUUAAAACCUUGGGCUGGAAUCUACCUGUUACGGAAGACAAAAAAUCAAGUUUUGUCUGGGGAGAUGCUGGCUUGACAUUUUGGAGUCCAAAUGUGAACAUAUUUAGAGACCCAAGGUGGGGUCAUGGACAAGAAACUCCUGUUGAAGACCCAGUUUUAGCCGGUAAGUAUGCCGCUAGCUAUGUGAGAGGACUCCAACUCUCCAAGGUUACGGAGGUAACCCAUUGAAGGUAGCAGCAUGUUGUAAACAUUACACAGCAGACGAGCUUGAUAACUGGAAUGGCGUUGAUGCUUCCACUUUGAUGCCAAGGUAAAUAUUACAGCAACCUGUUGGGUCUUGGUUUGAAUUUUGUUUAGUAAUAAAGCCCAUGAUUUGAGCAUGUUUGGGGUUUUCACAUUUGCAGUUUAGCAAACAAGACGUUGAGGAUACCUUUGAUGUUCCAUUUAGAGACUGUUUUGGAAGGAAAAGUUGCCACUGUUAUGUGUUCUACCUGUGCUGACUCUAAUCUUCUACCUAAUACAUCAGAGGGUACCUGAAGCUUAAUGGGUGAGUUUUAUAUUCUGAUAAUGUUGACCACAGUCAACAAUCAACACCAAUAAAAAUUUGAUUAUCCAUGGGACUAAAUAAAAUAUGACAUAUUUUGCAUAUUGUGGAACAGGUACAUUGUUUCCGAUUGCAAUUCAGUAGGUGUUUUCUACGAUAACCAACACUGCACCGCUAUUGAAGGAAGCAGCUGCAGAUGCCAUUAAAGCCGGUUAGUAAAUGCCUAUAUAGAUUAGUGUCGUCAUUUUUUUGUGUGGCUAAGUAGAACUUUUAUUGAUUGAUAUAGUAAUAUGAACCUUAAUUUGAUUGUUGUUAUUGUAUUUCUAUUAUUUCAGGUUAGAUUUGGACUGUGGCCUAUUUCUUGCAGUGCAAACUGAGGGGGCCAUAGAAAGAAGGUUAUUGAGGAGGUGGAUGUAAACAAUGCACUUGUUAAUACAAUGACAGUCCAAAUGAGGCUGGGUAUGUGUGAUGGUGAGCCAUCUAAGCAGCCAUACGGACACUAAGGUCCACCAGAUGUGUGUUUGGCGACUAACAACCAACUCGCUCUUGAAGCUGCUCUACAAUGGAUAGUCUUGUUAUGUGACCGAGUUUAUCAAUAAAGUUUCUGUUGAGAAGAAAAAAAAAAGGAAAAAGAAAAAAGAAAAAAAAAGUAUAAAAUAAAAAAAACAAAAAAGAAACAAAGGAAAAAAAGAAGGGAAAAGAAAAAAGAAAAUGCAAAAAAAAGGAAAACAAAAGUGAAAAAGAAAAAAUAGUAACUAUAGUAGCAGGCCAGGAAAAUCAUUCAUUUGUAUGACAGUCAACGGAAUGCUGCCAGCACGUCCACCGAAGUAAAUGGUGUUUCUUUUAAUCCUGAUAUAUUAAGCACCUCAAAUUGUUGAUUGACAACUGGUGUUCGCAAUAUUCUUUAGCUUUGGGAAGAGUAUGAAUAUGAUUUUUUGCAUAUUAUUAUUGAUAAGGAUAUAUUUAGGAUGAUGACAUUUCUUUUUGUUAUAUCAUCCUAAACAGCUGUACUAACGCGGCACACACAUACACAGGCACACACAAGGGGAACAUCUUGGAGUUUUUGUGUUUUCUUAUCCUCACAAGUAACGACAACCCUUUGCAGGUACCGUCUUCUUGAAAUCAUACCAUGUCACUAUUUUCUGGGGAUAUGUAUGAGAAAAGACAAGAUAGCUAUCACUGAGUAUGAAGUUGUAAUCAACAUUGUUGUGCUGAAGAUUUCUUAGAACCUUGUGCAGGAGUCUACCUGUUAUCGAAGACAAAAAAUCAAGUUUUGUAGACUAGCUGAAUGGAGUUAUAGUGUUGUUCAGGACAAAAUCCAAGAACUACAUGCAUGGAGAGACUUGUAACCAAUGUUAGUAUCACUCACAGUCCCUUUAUUUUUCAGCUUGUGUCCAUUAUUUAAUCUUAUGUUAAAAAAUAAGGUAUAUCUUAUCUUCCAAGAAGAAACAAGGAGUGGAAAAGCAGAGGGAGAGAGAGAGAGAGGAGGUUACCCAAAUCGGUCUUCAACUCAACUUUAACUUAAGAUAAUGACCAUCUGAAUAUGACAUGAACAACAUUCCAUCUAGUUGUUUGUCAAAUCAAAUACCUCAAUUAAGUCAUUAUAAUGUUUUAACCUCUUAGAAAUUCAUUUUGCGCCAUACUACUACCAUCACUUCCUUUGAGGACCCUAUGUGUACUACCGAUGGCAACAUUUUUGAUAUAUUAUGAUUAUCUUUCUCUAUGAAUUUUAUUAUGGGUUCGUAGCAUUUCACUGAAAUAUUCUUUCGAAUUUGAUUGGAAUUUGAUUUGGGAGGUCCACACUACCCCAGAAUGCAAAUUUCUCAACAUUUUCAUGAUAGUAAUUUCCAUCUUUGAUUUUUGUAGGAAUGUAAUACUCAGAAGAGAAAGCAAGUUGAAAAACCAGAUGCUCCAAGGUUAUCCACUUCCAGGUUUAAAGUUCCCAAAUUGAAGAACGCCUCUCCACGUACCACAUACUAAAAGUAAAAAAGAAAAAGAAAAAAAAAAGGAAAAGAAGAAGAAAAACCGAAAAGAAAAAAAAAAGAAAAAAAGGAAGAAAAAAAGAAAAAAAAA